This 603-nucleotide ribosomal RNA is filed under the name uncultured bacterium. RNAcentral's name for it is "bacterial SSU rRNA". The stretch from base 1 to 516 matches the Rfam family "Bacterial small subunit ribosomal RNA", at positions 338 to 873 of the family's 1533-position model. The record is from RNAcentral.
CCUACGGGAGGCAGCAGUGGGGAAUCUUGGACAAUGGGCGCAAGCCUGAUCCAGCCAUGCCGCGUGAGUGAAGAAGGCCUUCGGGUUGUAAAGCUCUUUUGUCAGGGACGAUAAUGACGGUACCUGAAGAAUAAGCCCCGGCAAACUUCGUGCCAGCAGCCGCGGUAAUACGAAGGGGGCUAGCGUUGUUCGGAUUUACUGGGCGUAAAGCGUACGUAGGCGGAUUGUUAAGUGAGAGGUGAAAUCCCAGGGCUCAACCCUGGAACUGCCUUUCAUACUGGCAAUCUCGAGUUCGGAAGAGGUGAGUGGAAUUCCUAGUGUAGAGGUGAAAUUCGUAGAUAUUAGGAAGAACACCGGUGGCGAAGGCGGCUCACUGGUCCGAUACUGACGCUGAGGUACGAAAGCGUGGGGAGCAAACAGGAUUAGAUACCCUGGUAGUCCACGCCGUAAACUAUGGUGCUAGCCGUUGGAAAGCUUGCUUUUCAGUGGCGCAGCUACGACAUAAGUACACCCGCCGUCGGGUAGGUACGGUCGCGAGAGUAAACUACAAUAGAGUUAGACGGCGUGUAGACGUUGCGACGGACGACGACGAGGGAGGUUAGG